RNAcentral lists this long non-coding RNA (426 nucleotides) under Parus major (Great Tit). RNAcentral's name for it is "lncRNA (ENSPMJG00000008663.1)". Lineage: Eukaryota; Metazoa; Chordata; Aves; Passeriformes; Paridae. The record is from RNAcentral.
GCUGGAUGGUUUCUUGCAGACAGACUGAUGGUUUUGCCUGUAGAACAGAGUGAGGAGUGAGGAGCCAUCAUCCUUUUGUAAGGAGUCCAGGCAAAAAGUUUGCUCAGUGAGACACCAAGGGAUGGGGCUGUGCUGUGUUUGUUGUUAAUGCUUGGUGCUGUGAUGGGAUUCAUGCUGUUUGUUCUCCUGAGAAGGCAGUGCUCAAGGGGAAAGUGAUCCCGGUGGGGAAGAGAGGAUCAGUCCAAGCUCUGAGCUCCUGCUGGCAGCAGGGGUGGUGUGCUCCAGUGCCAGGAACGCUGGAAGGGACCUGCUUACCACCAACCUCAUCUGCUCCAGCAUCUGUGGCCCUCUGACAUUUUUGCCAGAUGGUGAUCACCGAUGCUCAAAACCUCUCAAAUAAUCCUGUGAAAGGAAGAAAUAUAAAUA